UGGGGUGUGGCUCAGGGUAGAGCCCUGGCCUAGCAUGGGCGGGCCCUGGGUUCCAACCCCAGCACUGCAA
This 70-nucleotide transfer RNA is filed under the name Heterocephalus glaber (naked mole-rat). It matches the Rfam family "tRNA". Rfam says of the family: Transfer RNA (tRNA) molecules are approximately 80 nucleotides in length. Lineage: Eukaryota; Metazoa; Chordata; Mammalia; Rodentia; Bathyergidae. The record is from Rfam by way of RNAcentral.